GAUGAACGCUGGCGGCGUGCCUAAUACAUGCAAGUCGAGCGAACAGAUAAGGAGCUUGCUCCUUUGAAGUUAGCGGCGGACGGGUGAGUAACACGUGGGUAACCUACUUAUAAGACUGGGAUAACUUCGGGAAACCGGAGCUAAUACCGGAUAACAUUUAGAACCGCAUGGUUCUAAAGUGAAAGAUGGUUUUGCUAUCACUUAUAGAUGGACCCGCGCCGUAUUAGCUAGUUGGUAAGGUAACGGCUUACCAAGGCGACGAUACGUAGCCGACCUGAGAGGGUGAUCGGCCACACUGGAACUGAGACACGGUCCAGACUCCUACGGGAGGCAGCAGUAGGGAAUCUUCCGCAAUGGGCGAAAGCCUGACGGAGCAACGCCGCGUGAGUGAUGAAGGGUUUCGGCUCGUAAAACUCUGUUAUUAGGGAAGAACAAAUGUGUAAGUAACUGUGCACAUCUUGACGGUACCUAAUCAGAAAGCCACGGCUAACUACGUG
Molecule: ribosomal RNA, 497 nt
Filed under: uncultured bacterium
Lineage: Bacteria
Description: partial 16S ribosomal RNA
Rfam family: Bacterial small subunit ribosomal RNA
Source: RNAcentral